GACGAACGCUGGCGGCGUGCCUAAUACAUGCAAGUAGAACGCACAGUUUAUACCGUAGCUUGCUACACCAUAGACUGUGAGUUGCGAACGGGUGAGUAACGCGUAGGUAACCUGCCUGGUAGCGGGGGAUAACUAUUGGAAACGAUAGCUAAUACCGCAUAAUAUUAAUUAUUGCAUGAUAAUUAAUUGAAAGGUGCAAUUGCACCACUACCAGAUGGACCUGCGUUGUAUUAGCUAGUAGGUGAGGUAACGGCUCACCUAGGCGACGAUACAUAGCCGACCUGAGAGGGUGAUCGGCCACACUGGGACUGAGACACGGCCCAGACUCCUACGGGAGGCAGCAGUAGGGAAUCUUCGGCAAUGGACGAAAGUCUGACCGAGCAACGCCGCGUGAGUGAAGAAGGUUUUCGGAUCGUAGAGCUCUGUUGUAAGAGAAGAACGGGUGUGAGAGUGGAAAGUUCACACUGUGACGGUAUCUUACCAGAAAGGGACGGCUAACUACGUG
This 505-nucleotide ribosomal RNA is filed under the name uncultured bacterium. RNAcentral's name for it is "partial 16S ribosomal RNA". It matches the Rfam family "Bacterial small subunit ribosomal RNA", at positions 28 to 507 of the family's 1533-position model. The record is from RNAcentral.